This 636-nucleotide ribosomal RNA is filed under the name uncultured Proteinivoraceae bacterium. RNAcentral describes it as "bacterial SSU rRNA". It matches the Rfam family "Bacterial small subunit ribosomal RNA", at positions 93 to 747 of the family's 1533-position model. Lineage: Bacteria; Bacillati; Bacillota; Clostridia; Eubacteriales; Proteinivoracaceae. The record is from RNAcentral.
UAGUGGCGGACGGGUGAGUAACMCGUGGGCAACCUGCCCUACAGCCUGGGAUACCAUCGGGAAACUGAUGUUAAUACCGGAUACGCUCUUUUGAUCGCAUGAUCUAAGGAGGAAAGAUUUAUCGCUGUAGGAUGGGCCCGCGGUCCAUUAGCUAGUUGGUAGGGUAACGGCCUACCAAGGCGACGAUGGAUAGCUGGUCUGAGAGGACGAUCAGCCACACUGGGACUGAGACACGGCCCAGACUCYUACGGGAGGCAGCAGUGGGGAAUAUUGCGCAAUGGGGGCAACCCUGACGCAGCAAUGCCGCGUGAAGGAUGAAGGCUUUCGGGUCGUAAACUUCUGUCUAGAGGGAUGAAUUUUGACAGUACCUCUGGAGGAAGCCCCGGCUAACUACGUGCCAGCAGCCGCGGUAAUACGUAGGGGGCAAGCGUUGUCCGGAAUCACUGGGCGUAAAGCGCGCGUAGGUGGUCUAGUAAGUCAGAUGUUAAAAUGCGGGGCUCAACCCCGUAAUGCAUUUGAAACUGCUGGACUUGAGGACAGGAGAGGAAAGUGGAAUUCCUAGUGUAGCGGUGAAAUGCGUAGAUAUUAGGAGGAACACCAGUGGCGAAGGCGACUUUCUGGACUGUACCUGACACU